RNAcentral lists this long non-coding RNA (489 nucleotides) under Dicentrarchus labrax (European seabass). RNAcentral describes it as "lncRNA (ENSDLAG00005028819.1)". The record is from RNAcentral. Lineage: Eukaryota; Metazoa; Chordata; Actinopteri; Moronidae.
CUAAAUUUAUCACUCACCCACCCACCCUCUCGGGUUCAUGCAUGCUGUGGAUCUAGCCACAACACAUGCGCCCCUAAAGGAAGGUUGUAGAUAGAAAGUGGGUGGGGGGUGGUGGCUGUGUGCUGGCAGGGCCUGUGGACCUGUCAGUCUAUCUUUAUGUCCCAGUAGUCCUGUCCCAUAAGCCUCCAGAGCUCUGACCUUCUCAGGGACGGUGGAACCAGUAGACAGGAGCGUCUUAUAGCUAACUUCUUACUGAACCCACCUGAAACACUGUAAGACCCCAAUGGCUCUCUGAGAAGAGAACGUACAUUAAGAAGGACUUGGGAGUGAGACCCCCAUUAAACUAAGCAAUCCCAGAUUGCUACAGAAGAGAGCUUUGAGCUUCCAGAAAGAAUUCUCCUUUGACGAAAAAGACGACCCAGCCAAAAGCACCAAGGAUAUAGAUGUUAGUCUCUUGGCCAAUCUCCCCAAAGGUGAGUAAGGGUUUUU